GGAGUUGGCUAGAUCGUCGCCGCUUUAAUGGGUUGGUAACUUGUUAUCAAUGUUAUUAGAGGGGAGGAAAGUCCGGGCUUCAAAGGGCAGGGUGCCAGGUAACGCCUGGGUAGCGCGAGCUAACGACAAGUGCAGCAGAGAGGAGACCGCCUGCUAAUUUAUUAGUAGGUAAGGGUGAAAGGGUGCGGUAAGAGCGCACCGGCUAAUGGGUAAUCAUUAGUGCAAGGUAAACUCCACCCGAAGCAAGACCAAAUAGGCUUCCUGAGGUAUGGCCCAUACUGGAAGCGGGUAGGUUGCUUGAGCCUGUGAGCGAUUGCAGGCCUAGACGAAUGACGAUUCACGACAGAACCCGGCUUAUCGGCCAACUCCAACC
This 373-nucleotide RNase P RNA is filed under the name Psychromonas sp. B3M02. RNAcentral's name for it is "Bacterial RNase P class A". It matches the Rfam family "Bacterial RNase P class A". From Rfam's summary of the family: Ribonuclease P (RNase P) is a ubiquitous endoribonuclease, found in archaea, bacteria and eukarya as well as chloroplasts and mitochondria. Its best characterised activity is the generation of mature 5'-ends of tRNAs by cleaving the 5'-leader elements of precursor-tRNAs. Cellular RNase Ps are ribonucleoproteins. Lineage: Bacteria; Pseudomonadati; Pseudomonadota; Gammaproteobacteria; Alteromonadales; Psychromonadaceae. The record is from Rfam by way of RNAcentral.